Molecule: ribosomal RNA, 497 nt
Filed under: uncultured bacterium
Lineage: Bacteria
Description: bacterial SSU rRNA
Rfam family: Bacterial small subunit ribosomal RNA
Source: RNAcentral
AAAUGAAUAGACGGGGACCCGCACAAGCAGCGGAGCAUGUGGUUUAAUUCGAAGCAACGCGAAGAACCUUACCAAGUCUUGACAUAUUUCGGAGGUAAUUAGAGAUAGUUACUUAUGACUUCGGUCAACUGAAAUACAGGUGGUGCAUGGUUGUCGUCAGCUCGUGUCGUGAGAUGUUGGGUUAAGUCCCAUAACGAGCGCAACCCUUCUCGUUAGUUACCAUCAUUAAGUUGGGGACUCUAGCGAUACUGCCGGUGAUAAACCGGAGGAAGGUGGGGAUGACGUCAAAUCAUCAUGCCCUUUAUGACUUGGGCUACACACGUGCUACAAUGGCAGGAACAGAGAGCAGCGAAAUCGUGAGAUCAAGCCAACCUCAAAAAACCUGUCCCAGUUCGGAUUGUACUCUGCAACUCGAGUACAUGAAGUUGGAGUUGCUAGUAAUCGUGGAUCAGCACGCCACGGUGAAUGCGUUCCCGGGUCUUGUACACACCGCCCGU